UACGAAGGGGGCAAGCGUUGUUCGGAAUUACUGGGCGUAAAGGGCGCGCAGGCGGCUGAUCAAGUCAGAUGUGAAAGCCCCGGGCUCAACCUGGGAAUUGCAUUGGAUACUGGCAGGCUAGAGUGCGGUAGAGGGUAGUGGAAUUCCCGGUGUAGCAGUGAAAUGCGUAGAGAUCGGGAGGAACAUCCGUGGCGAAGGCGACUACCUGGACCAGCACUGACACUGAGGCACGAAAGCGUGGGGAGCAAACAGG
Molecule: ribosomal RNA, 253 nt
Filed under: uncultured bacterium
Lineage: Bacteria
Description: partial 16S ribosomal RNA
Rfam family: Bacterial small subunit ribosomal RNA
Source: RNAcentral